UAAUGGAAAAUACCCAAAUGGAGGGCAAAGCCCCCAUCAGAUGCAUGAAUGUUUGCGAACGAACGGCUGCCACUGCCCCAUACACUGUGUCUUUCUAGAACCCUCCCUCAGCCACCCCACCUGCCAUCUCCACCUGGACACAACUUGCUCAAAGGCUGGUGACUUGUGGGCCAUUCAUCUACAAGUCCUGAAGGAACAAGAGGCCCAAGCCUCGGGGAUGCAAGAAUGGCCCAUUUUAAAAACGUUGUUAGUCCCAGCCGACGUUUUUGGUGAUAUUCCAGUUUAGUUUCCCAAUUGAAAACAAGCCAAACAGACACUCAGACUGGUCAUGUAGAUGUUGCUAGCCUCUGUUGUACAACUAAACAUUACUGUUUGAACAAU
RNAcentral lists this long non-coding RNA (381 nucleotides) under Mus musculus (house mouse). RNAcentral describes it as "long non-coding RNA chr15:82294191-82294572". Lineage: Eukaryota; Metazoa; Chordata; Mammalia; Rodentia; Muridae. The record is from RNAcentral.